Molecule: ribosomal RNA, 119 nt
Filed under: Pteropus alecto (black flying fox)
Lineage: Eukaryota; Metazoa; Chordata; Mammalia; Chiroptera; Pteropodidae
Source: RNAcentral
GUCUACGGCCAUGCCACCCUGAACAAGCCCGAUCCCGUCCGAUCUCGGAAGCUAAGCAGGGUCAGGCGCAGUUAGUACUUGGAUGGGAGACCACCUAGGAAGACCAAGUGCUGUAGGCG